AGCAGCCGCGGUAAUUCCAGCUCCAAUAGCGUAUAUUAAAGUUGUUGCAGUUAAAAAGCUCGUAGUUGAAUUUCGGGACCAGACUGUCGGUCGUGCCUCGGUACGCACUGGCAUUAUUGGUUUCUCCCUUCUGACGAACCAUGAUGUCAUUUAUUUGGUGUCGUGGGGAAUCAGGACUGUUACUUUGAAAAAUUAGAGUGUUUAAAGCAGGCGCACGCUUGAAUACAUUAGCAUGGAAUAAUGAAAUAGGACGUUUGAUUCUAUUUUGUUGGUUUCUAGGAUCGACGUAAUGAUUAAUAGGGAUAGUUGGGGGCAUUAGUAUUCAAUUGUCAGAGGUGAAAUUCUUGGAUUUAUUGAAGACUAACUACUG
Molecule: ribosomal RNA, 370 nt
Filed under: uncultured Glomeromycotina
Lineage: Eukaryota; Fungi; Glomeromycota
Description: SSU rRNA
Rfam family: Eukaryotic small subunit ribosomal RNA
Source: RNAcentral